GGGGGUGAUACGGAUUCGACUGGAAUGUUGAAACGGAAGCUGCAUGUGGAGGUUGCAAGGAGGCCUCCUUAAAAACCUUGUACAAUAUAACUGCAGACGAACAGUUAGCUCUGGCUGCUUAAUUCAGCCACGUCCGAAAGAUUCAGCCUGCGGGAUCUUAAGGGCGACCAGCAGUAGGCUCGCUUCUUUUUAAGCCACCUUGUUAAAAAGAAGUUAAAUCGCCACAGGGUUAGCGUUGAAAGUUUUUUAUCUGGUUUGAGCUUUCAACGCGAGAUUUUCGAACCAGAAGAAACAUGUGGUAUGCUGCCGCGAAUAUAUUUUAGGACGCGGGUUCAACUCCCGCCACCUCCACCA
Molecule: transfer-messenger RNA, 354 nt
Filed under: bacterium
Lineage: Bacteria
Also listed under: 1 other name
Description: JAGLRQ01 sp023136205 Standard tmRNA
Rfam family: transfer-messenger RNA
About the family: Bacterial tmRNA, also known as 10Sa RNA or SsrA, is named for its dual tRNA and mRNA-like properties. Its role is to liberate the mRNA from a stalled ribosome.
Source: RNAcentral